UACGUAGGGUGCAAGCGUUAAUCGGAAUUACUGGGCGUAAAGCGUGCGCAGGCGGUUAUGUAAGACAGGUGUGAAAUCCCCGGGCUUAACCUGGGAACUGCAUUUGUGACUGCAUAGCUAGAGUACGGUAGAGGGGGAUGGAAUUCCGCGUGUAGCAGUGAAAAGCGUAGAUAUGCGGAGGAACACCGAUGGCGAAGGCAAUCCCCUGGACCUGUACUGACGCUCAUGCACGAAAGCGUGGGGAGCAAACAGG
Molecule: ribosomal RNA, 253 nt
Filed under: uncultured bacterium
Lineage: Bacteria
Description: partial 16S ribosomal RNA
Rfam family: Bacterial small subunit ribosomal RNA
Source: RNAcentral